This 282-nucleotide long non-coding RNA is filed under the name Helianthus annuus (common sunflower). RNAcentral's name for it is "sRNA HanXRQr2_Chr15g0705771". Lineage: Eukaryota; Viridiplantae; Streptophyta; Magnoliopsida; Asterales; Asteraceae. The record is from RNAcentral.
UCACUUACUCAAACCAAACCAUCAAGAUGAAAUGUUUAACAACGGUAGAAAUGCUUAUGUAUAGUCAAAUGGUUACAACGGUUCAAAAUGUAGUGUAAUGUGUUCAUAUGCUGGAUGAGCAUAUGCAACAGUAAUGUAAUGUGAAACAAUGUACUACGUAUGCACACAAUGGGCGUACGUAGCAUGAAAUUAAUGUAAUGUGAAACAAUGUACUAAGUACGCACACAAUGGGCAUACAUAGCAUAAACACAAUGAAAUCAUGUACUAUAUAUGUACUAUCGA